Molecule: non-coding RNA, 126 nt
Organism: Plenodomus lindquistii
Lineage: Eukaryota; Fungi; Ascomycota; Dothideomycetes; Pleosporales; Leptosphaeriaceae
Source: the annotation of a GenBank genome assembly
AGCUUUCUGGCGCAGUGGAAGCGCGCCGGGCUCAUAACCCGGGUUCGUAGUCCUCUUGAGCACUGUAGAAAUAAAUGAAAGACUAAUAUUAAGCAGAGGACACAAGAUCGAAACUUGUGAAAGCUA